CCGGCCGCCAGCGGCGCUCGCAAAGUUCGGAUCCGCAAGGACCGGGCCAGCGGGACGUCCGCGUGGCAGGGUGCACUUUCUCCGCGGUCGAGUGCUACGACCGGUUUCGAGGCGGUCAGAAGCCCGGCGGAAAGGUAGCGCCGCCCUUCGGGGUGUCGUGUUAUAGGCCGCCGCGGUGGACUCGCCGCGAGACCGAGGACGCUUGCCGCGCCGAGCGGUCCCGGGCCGUCUUGGGAGGUUCGACCUCGGCUGCACUGCUCCGCAGAGCACCGUAACCGCCGCCCUAGCACGGGUCCGGAGACCGCCGGCGCCUCGGGUCAGUAGCG
Molecule: ribosomal RNA, 326 nt
Filed under: Corbicula sp. BA2a
Lineage: Eukaryota; Metazoa; Mollusca; Bivalvia; Venerida; Cyrenidae
Description: partial 28S ribosomal RNA
Source: RNAcentral